Molecule: ribosomal RNA, 253 nt
Filed under: uncultured bacterium
Lineage: Bacteria
Description: partial 16S ribosomal RNA
Rfam family: Bacterial small subunit ribosomal RNA
Source: RNAcentral
GACAGAGGGUGCAAACGUUGUUCGGAUUUACUGGGCGUAAAGCGCGCGUAGGCGGACCUGCAAGUCGGGGGUGAAAGCCCGAGGCUCAACCUCGGAACUGCCUUCGAUACUGCGGGUCUCGAGUCCGGGAGAGGUGAGUGGAAUUCCCAGUGUAGCGGUGAAAUGCGUAGAUAUUGGGAGGAACACCAGUGGCGAAGGCGGCUCACUGGACCGGUACUGACGCUGAUGCGCGAAAGCGUGGGGAGCAAACAGG